UGCGGAAGGAUCAUUACAGAGUUCAUGCCCUCACGGGUAGACCUCCCACCCUUGUGUAUUUAUACUAUGUUGCUUUGGCGCAGUGUUUGACUCAGGUCAAACCUCAGCUCCUCGUGAGUUGAGAGUCCUUCGCCAGAGGAAAACCAAACUCUGAUUAUUAAUGUCGUCUGAGCACUAUAUAAUAGUUAAAACUUUCAACAACGGAUCUCUUGGUUCUGGCAUCGAUGAAGAACGCAGCGAAAUGCGAUAAGUAAUGUGAAUUGCAGAAUUCAGUGAAUCAUCGAAUCUUUGAACGCACAUUGCGCCCCUUGGUAUUCCGGGGGGCAUGCCUGUUCGAGCGUCAUUUCAACCCUCAAGCCUAGCUUGGUAUUGGGCCUCUACCAGUCAGAUGGUAGGCCUCAAAAUCAGUGGCGGCGCCGUUGGGUCCUGAACGUAGUAAUAUAUUUCGUUACAGGUGCCUCACGUGCUUCUGCCAUUAAACCCCCAAUUUUCUAUGGUUGACCUCGGAUCAGGUAGGGAUACCCGCUGAA
This 530-nucleotide small RNA is filed under the name Lambertella sp. TNS:F-40038. Its description in RNAcentral is "eukaryotic LSU rRNA". The stretch from base 190 to 343 matches the Rfam family "5.8S ribosomal RNA". The record is from RNAcentral. Lineage: Eukaryota; Fungi; Ascomycota; Leotiomycetes; Helotiales; Rutstroemiaceae.